CGCAUCCUACGUGGCGAUUUGUUCACCGGAUUGCGGGCCACGUUAAAUAUUCCGCUAAAGAGGUCGGUCGCGAGCCGUC
RNAcentral lists this non-coding RNA (79 nucleotides) under Palleronia abyssalis. Its description in RNAcentral is "Alpha-proteobacteria SAM riboswitch aptamer". It matches the Rfam family "Alpha-proteobacteria SAM riboswitch aptamer". Rfam says of the family: This family is a riboswitch found predominantly in alpha-proteobacteria that binds S-adenosyl methionine (SAM). This SAM riboswitch is located upstream of the metA and metC genes in Agrobacterium tumefaciens, and other methionine and SAM biosynthesis genes in other alpha-proteobacteria. The record is from Rfam by way of RNAcentral. Lineage: Bacteria; Pseudomonadati; Pseudomonadota; Alphaproteobacteria; Rhodobacterales; Roseobacteraceae.